Molecule: long non-coding RNA, 135 nt
Organism: Aethalodelphis obliquidens (Pacific white-sided dolphin)
Lineage: Eukaryota; Metazoa; Chordata; Mammalia; Artiodactyla; Delphinidae
Exons: 3
Source: RefSeq, a predicted model, not a curated record
UUCCCUGGCAGUUCCCUGGUGAGACUCUGAGCUUCCACCGCAGGGGGCACAGGUUCGAUCUCUGGCCGGGGAACUGACAUCCCUCAUGCUGCGUGGUGCGGACAAAAAUAAAAAACAAAUAUUAUGUAAAUAGAG